Molecule: ribosomal RNA, 492 nt
Filed under: uncultured bacterium
Lineage: Bacteria
Description: partial 16S ribosomal RNA
Rfam family: Bacterial small subunit ribosomal RNA
Source: RNAcentral
AGUGAACGCUGGCGGUAGGCCUAACACAUGCAAGUCGAACGGCAGCACAGUAAGAGCUUGCUCUUACGGGUGGCGAGUGGCGGACGGGUGAGGAAUACAUCGGAAUCUACUUUUUCGUGGGGGAUAACGUAGGGAAACUUACGCUAAUACCGCAUACGACCUACGGGUGAAAGCAGGGGAUCUUCGGACCUUGCGCGAUUGAAUGAGCCGAUGUCGGAUUAGCUAGUUGGCGGGGUAAAGGCCCACCAAGGCGACGACCCGUAGCUGGUCUGAGAGGAUGAUCAGCCACACUGGAACUGAGGCACGGUCCAGACUCCUACGGGAGGCAGCAGUGGGGAAUAUUGGACAAUGGGCGCAAGCCUGAUCCAGCCAUACCGCGUGGGUGAAGAAGGCCUUCGGGUUGUAAAGCCCUUUUGUUGGGAAAGAAAAGCAGCAGGUUAAUACCCCGCUGUUCUGACGGUACCCAAAGAAUAAGCACCGGCUAACUUCGUG